AAUCAACGCUGGCGGCGUGCCUAACACAUGCAAGUCGCACGAGAAAGGGACUUCGGUCCUGAGUACAGUGGCGCACGGGUGAGUAACACGUGAAUAAUCUACCUCCGAGUGGGGAAUAACCUAGAGAAAUCUGGGCUAAUACCGCAUAACACUCACGAGUCAAAGCAGCAAUGCGCUUGGAGAGGAGUUCGCGGCAGAUUAGUUAGUUGGCAGGGUAAUGGCCUACCAAGACGAUGAUCUGUAUCCGGCCUGAGAGGGCGCACGGACACACUGGAACUGAAACACGGUCCAGACUCCUACGGGAGGCAGCAGUGGGGAAUUUUGCGCAAUGGGGGAAACCCUGACGCAGCAACGCCGCGUGGAGGAUGAAAUCCCUGGGAUGUAAACUCCUUCGAUCGGGAAGAUAAUGACGGUACCGAGAGAAGAAGCCCCGGCUAACUUCGUGCCAGCAGCCGC
RNAcentral lists this ribosomal RNA (456 nucleotides) under uncultured bacterium. RNAcentral's name for it is "bacterial SSU rRNA". It matches the Rfam family "Bacterial small subunit ribosomal RNA", at positions 32 to 518 of the family's 1533-position model. The record is from RNAcentral.